RNAcentral lists this ribosomal RNA (460 nucleotides) under uncultured bacterium. RNAcentral's name for it is "partial 16S ribosomal RNA". It matches the Rfam family "Bacterial small subunit ribosomal RNA", at positions 338 to 795 of the family's 1533-position model. The record is from RNAcentral.
CCUACGGGGGGCAGCAGUGAGGAAUAUUGGUCAAUGGACGAGAGUCUGAACCAGCCAAGUAGCGUGAAGGAUGACUGCCCUAUGGGUUGUAAACUUCUUUUAUAUGGGAAUAAAAUGUUCCACGUGUGGGAUUUUGUAUGUACCAUAUGAAUAAGGAUCGGCUAACUCCGUGCCAGCAGCCGCGGUAAUACGGAGGAUCCGAGCGUUAUCCGGAUUUAUUGGGUUUAAAGGGAGCGUAGGUGGAUUGUUAAGUCAGUUGUGAAAGUUUGCGGCUCAACCGUAAAAUUGCAGUUGAAACUGGCAGUCUUGAGUACAGUAGAGGUGGGCGGAAUUCGUGGUGUAGCGGUGAAAUGCUUAGAUAUCACGAAGAACGCCGAUUGCGAAGGCAGUUCACUGGACUGCAACUGACACUGAGGCUCGAAAGUGUGGGUAUCAAACAGGAUUAGAUACCCCAGUAGUC